Molecule: signal recognition particle RNA, 298 nt
Filed under: Microcebus murinus (gray mouse lemur)
Lineage: Eukaryota; Metazoa; Chordata; Mammalia; Primates; Cheirogaleidae
Description: Metazoan signal recognition particle RNA (ENSMICG00000047945.1)
Rfam family: Metazoan signal recognition particle RNA
About the family: The signal recognition particle (SRP) is a universally conserved ribonucleoprotein.
Source: RNAcentral
GCCGGACGCGGUGGCGCGCGCCUGUAGUCCCAGCUACUCGGGAGGCUGAGAUGGGAGGAUCGCUUGAGCCAGGAGUUCUGGGCUGUAGUGCGCUAUGCCGAUCAGGUGUCCGCACUAAGUUGGGCAUCAAUAUGGUGACCUCCCGGGAGCGGGGGACCACCAGGUUGCCUAAGGAGGGGUGAACCGGCCCAGGUCGGAAACGGAGCAGGUCAAAACUCCCGUGCUGAUCAGUAGUGGGAUCACGCCUGUGAAUAGCCACUGCACUCCAGCCUGGGCAACAUAGCGAGACCCCGUCUCU